Phyllostomus discolor (pale spear-nosed bat) is the source of this 1850-nucleotide long non-coding RNA. RefSeq lists it as uncharacterized. The record is from RefSeq and is a predicted model, not a curated record. The transcript has 2 exons. NCBI's taxonomy places the organism in Eukaryota, Metazoa, Chordata, Mammalia, Chiroptera, Phyllostomidae.
AAACCCAGAGCUCUGUUUCACCACCAGGGGCCUUUCAGUAACACUUCUGUACGGUACAUUUGAGAAUGGUUAAGUGGGUAAAUUGUAUGUGUUUUAUACCACACUUUUCUAGAAAGUGCUAUGACAGCAGGGCAAAGAUGGCUUGAAGUGAGAAGGUGUCCCUUCCUCCACUGCUGUCUUUUUCUGCCGCAUCCCACUUACCACCUUUUCCAACCUUUCCUCUUUGUGAGCAGCAGGACUCACUCUCACCUGCCCGGUGUCUUUCAAGGGAUUAAUGCAUGUUCCCUUCUGGUCUCGGUGGUGACAGAGAAGGGAUGCAGGGGGAUCCUUGGGGUGAUCCCUCCAACUCUGUCCUACCUGGUGAGGCUCUCUCUUUGCCUGGGACAGGGAACCAGUUGGAGCAGAAGGAGAGGGACAUUUAGGGCAAGAGGUUCUUAGGAAGAUGGAGCACAUGCAUCUAGUGAGAAAACUAGCCUGGCAUUAACCGUCAUGGGCACGAAUGCCCUCUUUUGUGUUUCCUUUGGUGGAGAAGAAGGAUCCUGUGACACUCGUCACCUUGUGGCUCUGAAGUGACUUCAGGUAAUAAAGAUGAGAGACAAAAUACAAUGAAAAGCUAUUGCUCCAUUGCUCUUACUGCUCAUGAAAUUCCAAGGGUUUGGGAACUGUGAGCCAGGAACGGUGGACUAAGUCCAAAUAUGAGAAGUAAGCAUUUGGCCACCUGAGGAACCAAAUACAUACUCCUUGUAAAUCACAGUGUCACAGAAGGACCAAUGGAAACCACUGAACUGUGACAGAGGGAAGGUUAAAUGGAUCAGCACAUUCACACCAAGGACUGUUGUGGCCAUGUGAAGCUCACAGUAAGCAGACAAUGCUCCAAUCAACUGAGCCACCCAGCCAGGGCUUAAAACAGUUUUUAAGUGUUUGCAACACAGCAGUUGAAAGAAUUUGAGCACAUGAGUGAGCAGGGAAAAUGAAAGGAAGAAGAUUCCCUGAGGAAGCAGGAAUACGUAAUGAUAGCAUAGGUAGUAGCAGAAGCAGCUCAUAUUCAGUUAGGAAUCGAAAGGGACCAGACUGUGUUCUAAAUGCUUUACAAGCAUUAACGCCAAUUCCUGAUGACUGUGAAGUCAGUGUUGUCAGUCAGGGAAAUGGAGACACAAGGAAGGUCAAGCAGCUGGCCCAAUCUGAUAUGCCCAACCCAAAUGAACCACUGUAUUAAUUUUCUGUUGCUGCAUGACAAGUUAGCACACAGUGGUUUAAAACAACCACCAUCUGUUAUCUUACAGUCCUGUAGGUCACCAGUCUGGGCAGGUUCAACUGGAUUCUCUGCUUAGCAUCUCCCAUGACCAAAAUCAAGGUGUCUGCAGGGCUGGGCUUUUAUCUAGAGGCUCUGGUGAAGAGUAUGCAUUCGUUAUUGGGGUUGGAAAAACUGAAUUCCCUUAGCUCUGGGACUGACUUCCCCUCUCCUUGCUAGCCUGUGAGUUAGAAUCUGCUACAGUUAGUAAUUCCAGUCUGUGGUACCCCGUGCAUCGCAGCUCUUCGUCUUUACCUUUGAAGUCAGCAGCAGCAUGUGGAAUAUUUUGCUGGCUUGGAAUUGGUAAAAACUCUGGAACUUUACAGGGCCCUUACGAUUUGGCUAGGAACACCCAGGUAAUUUCCCUCUUCUUAUGCUUGUAACAAUGAUCAAAUCAUAAGAAUAAAAUUCAUCACGUUAACAGUCUUGGAGAUUAAGGGAGAAAUCUUGGGGCUGUUUUAGAAUUCUGCCUCCCAUAACUAUGAUGAUGGAUUGGUAGGUUGGCAGGUUGGCAGGUUGUCUUUGUGAAGGGAGGUCUGAGUGCUCCCAAAACCUUCCU